GGGUCAGGAGGUUGGUCGUGCCACCGGUACGUACUGGUCUCACUGAUUCCUCCUUCCCGAAGAACCGUAAUGCCAUUAAUUUGGUGUUGCGGGGAAACAGGACUGUUACUUUGAAAAAAUUAGAGUGUUUAAAGCAAGCUAACGCUUGAAUACAUUAGCAUGGAAUAAUGAAAUAGGACGAUCGAUCCUAUUUUGUUGGUUUCUAGGAUUGACGUA
This 216-nucleotide ribosomal RNA is filed under the name Glomeromycotina sp. Its description in RNAcentral is "partial small subunit ribosomal RNA". The stretch from base 75 to 216 matches the Rfam family "Eukaryotic small subunit ribosomal RNA", at positions 721 to 864 of the family's 1831-position model. Lineage: Eukaryota; Fungi; Glomeromycota. The record is from RNAcentral.